GACGAACGCUGGCGGCGUGCUUAACACAUGCAAGUCGAACGCUGAAGACCUGGCUUUUGUUGGGUUGGAUGAGUGGCGAACGGGUGAGUAACACGUGAGUAACCUGCCCUCUUCUUUGGGAUAACGCCCGGAAACGGGUGCUAAUACUGGAUAUUCACUGGCCUUCGCAUGGGGGUUGGUGGAAAGGUUUGUUCUGGUGGGGGAUGGGCUCGCGGCCUAUCAGCUUGUUGGUGGGGUGAUGGCCUACCAAGGCUUUGACGGGUAGCCGGCCUGAGAGGGUGACCGGUCACAUUGGGACUGAGAUACGGCCCAGACGCCUACGGGAGGCAGCAGUGGGGAAUAUUGCACAAUGGGCGAAAGCCUGAUGCAGCGACGCCGCGUGAGGGAUGGAGGCCUUCGGGUUGUAAACCUCUUUCGCUCAUGGUCAAGCCGCAACUGUGGGUUGUGGUGAGGGUAGUGGGUAAAGAAGCGCCGGCUAACUACGUG
Molecule: ribosomal RNA, 486 nt
Filed under: uncultured bacterium
Lineage: Bacteria
Description: partial 16S ribosomal RNA
Rfam family: Bacterial small subunit ribosomal RNA
Source: RNAcentral